RNAcentral lists this ribosomal RNA (459 nucleotides) under uncultured bacterium. RNAcentral's name for it is "partial 16S ribosomal RNA". It matches the Rfam family "Bacterial small subunit ribosomal RNA", at positions 338 to 795 of the family's 1533-position model. The record is from RNAcentral.
CCUACGGGUGGCAGCAGUGAGGAAUAUUGGUCAAUGGACGAGAGUCUGAACCAGCCCAGUAGCGUGAAGGAUGACUGCCCUAUGGGUUGUAAACUUCUUUUAUAUGGGAAUAAAAUGUUCCACGUGUGGAAUUUUGUAUGUACCAUAUGAAUAAGGAUCGGCAAACUCCGUGCCAGCAGCCGCGGUAAUACGGAGGAUCCGAGCGUUAUCCGGAUUUAUUGGGUUUAACGGGCGCGUAGGCGGAAUAUCAAGUCAGCGGGAAAAAUUCGGGGCUCAACCCCGUCGUGCCGUUGAAACUGGUGGUCUUGAGUGGGCGAGAAGUAUGCGGAAGGCGUGGUGUAGCGGUGAAAUGCAUAGAUAUCACGCAGAACUCCGAUUGCGAAGGCAGCAUACCGGCGCCCAACUGACGCUGAAGCACGAAAGCGUGGGUAUCGAACAGGAUUAGAUACCCCUGUAGUC